GAUGAAGAACGCAGUGAAAUGCGAUAAGUAAUGUGAAUUGCAGAAUUCAGUGAAUCAUCGAAUCUUUGAACGCACAUUGCGCCCGCCAGUAUUCUGGCGGGCAUGCCUGUUCGAGCGUCAUUUCAACCCUCAAGCCCCAGCGGCCUGGUGUUGGGGACCGGCGACCUCGCCCGAGCCCGCCCUCCGGGGCGCGUGCCCGGUGCGUCCGCCGCCCCCGAAAUGAAUUGGCGGCCUCGUCGCGGCCUCCUCUGCGUAGUAGCACAACCUCGCAAGCGGGAGCGCGACGCGGACACUGCCGUAAAACGCCCAACUUUUUUAGAGUUGACCUCGGAUCAGGUAGGAAUACCCGCUGAACUUAAGCAUAUCAAUAAGCGGAGGA
This 379-nucleotide unclassified non-coding RNA is filed under the name soil metagenome. Its description in RNAcentral is "partial contains 5.8S ribosomal RNA, internal transcribed spacer 2, and large subunit ribosomal RNA". The stretch from base 1 to 120 matches the Rfam family "5.8S ribosomal RNA", at positions 35 to 154 of the family's 154-position model. The record is from RNAcentral.